GUUUGAUCCUGGCUCAGAGCGAACGCUGGCGGCAGGCCUAACACAUGCAAUUCGAACGGAUCCUUCGGGAUUAGUGGCGGACGGGUGAGUAACACGUGGGAACGUGCCCUUUGGUUCGGAACAACUCAGGGAAACUUGAGCUAAUACCGGAUGUGCCCUUCGGGGGAAAGAUUUAUCGCCAUUGGAGCGGCCCGCGUCUGAUUAGCUAGUUGGUGGGGUAAAGGCCCACCAAGGCGACGAUCAGUAGCUGGUCUGAGAGGAUGAUCAGCCACAUUGGGACUGAGACACGGCCCAAACUCCUACGGGAGGCAGCAGUGGGGAAUCUUGCGCAAUGGGCGAAAGCCUGACGCAGCCAUGCCGCGUGAAUGAUGAAGGUCUUAGGAUUGUAAAAUUCUUUCACCGGGGGAGAUAAUGACGGUACCCGAGAAGA
This 430-nucleotide ribosomal RNA is filed under the name Caulobacter sp. E1. Its description in RNAcentral is "bacterial SSU rRNA". It matches the Rfam family "Bacterial small subunit ribosomal RNA", at positions 11 to 488 of the family's 1533-position model. Lineage: Bacteria; Pseudomonadati; Pseudomonadota; Alphaproteobacteria; Caulobacterales; Caulobacteraceae. The record is from RNAcentral.